UGGGGAAUAUUGGGCAAUGGGCGAAAGCCUGACCCAGCGACGCCGCGUGGGUGAUGAAGGCCUUCGGGUUGUAAAGCCCUGUCAUGCGGAAAGAACGACCCUGAGACGCAUACUCUCAGGGAGUGACGGUACCGCAGGAGGAAGCACCGGCUAACUCCGUGCCAGCAGCCGCGGUAAUACGGAGGGUGCAAGCGUUGUUCGGAAUUAUUGGGCGUAAAGGGCGCGUAGGCGGUAAUGUAAGUCAGAUGUGAAAUACUCCGGCUCAACGAGAGAACAGCAUCGGAAGCUGGAUAACUAGAGUACAGAAGAGGGAAACGGAAUUCCCGGUGUAGGGGUGAGAUUCGUAGAUAUCGGGAGGAACACCAGGGGCGAAGGCGGUUUCCUGGUCUGAUACUGACGCUGAGGCGCGAAAGCGUGGGGAG
This 422-nucleotide ribosomal RNA is filed under the name uncultured bacterium. RNAcentral's name for it is "bacterial SSU rRNA". It matches the Rfam family "Bacterial small subunit ribosomal RNA", at positions 355 to 768 of the family's 1533-position model. The record is from RNAcentral.